AAUAAAAUUUUGUGAAAUGUAGUGACUUUAAACUAAGAUAGAGUCCACGUGUAGGAAAAAGUUUGUUUAUUAAAUAAAGUUAAAAACCAAAAUAUUUAUUUCACUACCUAUGAUGUCACAUCGGUUUUUUCUUUAAUUUCAUAUGGUAUUUUAAUGAGGGGAGAGAGGUUAAGCUAAUAAGAAUAUAUUUAUUUAGUUAACUAUUUUUUAAAGUAAAGCUAUAAGCUUGCUGAGUAAGUAGAUCUUUUAAAAGGAUUUUUUGAUUGGCAGCCCAUUAAUUUUGUGAGUAUGGGCGUAACAAUAACUCAAUUCCAGUGAGAAACAUUUAUAAGUUAUAGAAAUAUAGAAUAAGUAAUAGGAAAAAAGAGCAGAAUAAAAGAGUGCCAGCAUUCGCGGUUAAACUUUUUGUCUCUAGUCGAUGAGUUACAUAUACGAGUUAUUAUAACAAUAAAAAUAAUUAUUUGUAAUAGAGACGGUAAAAUGUUACUAUAAUUUACUAUAGAGAUAGUAUGAUAAAAAUCUGAUGUUUUAAAAGUUAAAUCUCAUAAGACUGUAAGUCAAGACCGGGAUUAGCGCCCCAGUAUUUAUGUUGUCAUUUAGUAUAUGGGUACUACGAGUAUAAGCUUAAAAACCGAAGAGGUUGGCGGUGUUUCAUAUCCAGUUAGGGGAACUUGGUGGUUAAAUCGAUGAUCCUCGUAAAUUUUACCUUUAGUUUCUUUGUAUACCGCCGUUGAGAUAGUCUUUUGUGGGUAAAGAAUUUAACUAACAAUAUAAAGUUUUUAUUAUAAAUUUAGUUUUGAAAACUUCUAUUUGAAUUCAGGUAAACGUACAGGUUCUAGAGGGCUUAGCUGAGUUACAUUUUUUAUAAAUUGCGGAUAUGAUGAAUUAUAAGUUAUUGAAGGUGUACUUGUUAGUAAGAAUUUUUAUUAAAGAAGUCUGAACAGAGUUAUGAAAUGCGUACAAAUCGCCCGGCAUCCUCGCUCUACUAAGUAGGUUUAAGUUGAGGUAAGUCGUAAC
RNAcentral lists this ribosomal RNA (1017 nucleotides) under Marcia recens. RNAcentral describes it as "12S ribosomal RNA". Lineage: Eukaryota; Metazoa; Mollusca; Bivalvia; Venerida; Veneridae. The record is from RNAcentral.